CCUACGGGUGGCAGCAGUGGGGAAUAUUGGACAAUGGGGGCAACCCUGAUCCAGCCAUGCCGCGUGUGUGAAGAAGGCCCUCGGGUUGUAAAACACUUUCAGUGAGGAAGAACGCCUGGUGGUUAAUACCCAUCAGGAAAGACAUCACUCACAGAAGAAGCACCGGCUAACUCCGUGCCAGCAGCCGCGGUAAUACGGAGGGUGCGAGCGUUAAUCGGAAUUACUGGGCGUAAAGCGCGCGUAGGUGGCUUGAUAAGCCGGUUGUGAAAGCCCCGGGCUCAACCUGGGAACGGCAUCCGGAACUGUCAAGCUAGAGUGCAGGAGAGGAAGGUAGAAUUCCCGGUGUAGCGGUGAAAUGCGUAGAGAUCGGGAGGAAUACCAGUGGCGAAGGCGGCCUUCUGGACUGACACUGACACUGAGGUGCGAAAGCGUGGGUAGCAAACAGGAUUAGAUACCCUUGUAGUC
Molecule: ribosomal RNA, 465 nt
Filed under: Vreelandella stevensii
Lineage: Bacteria; Pseudomonadati; Pseudomonadota; Gammaproteobacteria; Oceanospirillales; Halomonadaceae
Description: partial 16S ribosomal RNA
Rfam family: Bacterial small subunit ribosomal RNA
Source: RNAcentral